This 989-nucleotide non-coding RNA is filed under the name Scleropages formosus (Asian bonytongue). RNAcentral's name for it is "Eukaryotic large subunit ribosomal RNA". It matches the Rfam family "Eukaryotic large subunit ribosomal RNA", at positions 2391 to 3399 of the family's 3401-position model. The record is from Rfam by way of RNAcentral. Lineage: Eukaryota; Metazoa; Chordata; Actinopteri; Osteoglossiformes; Osteoglossidae.
GAAUCAGCAGGAAAAGAAGACCCUGUUGAGCUUGAUUCUAGUGUGACACCGUGAAGAGUCAUGAGAGGUGUAGAAUAAAUGGGAGGGUCUGGCUGCUGGUGAAAUGCCAUUAGUCAUCAUUUCUUUUAUACUUACACAGUGAGGUGAGCCCCACAUGGGCUGUUGGUUCUGGCGUCCCAGUCCAUGGACAAUGCCAGGUGACUAGGGUAGUACAACUGGUAAAUGGUAUCGUAGGUGUCCUGUGGCAGCCUCAGGGAGGAUAGAAACUUCAAAUGGGUCAGAAGGCCAAAAGCUUGCUUAAUUUUGAUUUUCAGUAUGAAUACAGACCAUGAAAGUGAGGCCUCAUGAUCCUUCCGGCUUUUUCGAGUUUCAUGCAGGAGGUGUCAGAAAAAUUACCACAGGGAUAGCUGACUUGUGGCAGCCAAGCUUUCAUGGAGACAUCACUUUUUGAUCCUUCGUUGUCAGCGCUUCCUUUCGUUGUGAAGCAGAAUUCACCAAGCGUUCGAUUGCUCACCCACUAAUAGUGUGUGACCUAGGUUUUUAUUUUCAUGAGACAGGUUAGUUUUAUUCCAGUGAUGUUGCUGCUGUAGUAAUCGUGUUCAGUACAAUAGGAACCACAGGUUAAGAUGUUUAGUGCAUAUGCUUGGCUGAGAAGCCAGUGGUGCUACGCUACCAUCUGUGAGAUUAUGACUGAGCACGUCUAAGUCAGAAUCCUGCCUAGGUGCAAUGAUACCUAGUACUGAAGAUCCAUGGUUAUGCACAGAUAUCCAGCCCCCAUUGCAGGAGCCAAUGUUGGAGUGCCUCCCACAACUGAACCGGCACAUGGACAGGCGAGUGCCGCUCCUCUCCUGAUGACACACCAUAUUUUCGUAUGGAACUUGGUGCUAAAACCUUCGCAGAUGGCCUGAUUCUGGGUCAGGGUUUCAUAGGUAGCAGAGCAGCAGCCUCGCUGAAAUCUGUUGAAAGUCAGCCCUAUCUUCCAAUCUUUU